UCUUCCGAACUCAGGUAUAAAUAAGAAAAUCUUAGUUAAGAGGGUUCAUGUAAAGAACAUGUUCCAAAUCACGAUCGAUUCCCUUUUCAAAACCUGCUGCAGCAGCUCGGGCUCUUCCUGCAUGCCAUAAAUGGCCCACAAAAAAGAAGAAUCCUAGAACAAAAUGAGAAGUU
Long non-coding RNA from Triticum aestivum (bread wheat), 173 nucleotides. RefSeq lists it as uncharacterized. The record is from RefSeq and is a predicted model, not a curated record. NCBI's taxonomy places the organism in Eukaryota, Viridiplantae, Streptophyta, Magnoliopsida, Poales, Poaceae. The transcript is spliced from 3 exons.